GCAGUGGUGGUUCAGUGGUGGGAUUCUCACCUCCCAUGAGGGAGACCCGGGUUCGAUUCCCGGCCAAGGUA
This 71-nucleotide transfer RNA is filed under the name Loxodonta africana (African savanna elephant). It matches the Rfam family "tRNA". From Rfam's summary of the family: Transfer RNA (tRNA) molecules are approximately 80 nucleotides in length. Their secondary structure includes four short double-helical elements and three loops (D, anti-codon, and T loops). The record is from Rfam by way of RNAcentral. Lineage: Eukaryota; Metazoa; Chordata; Mammalia; Proboscidea; Elephantidae.